Small nuclear RNA from Artibeus jamaicensis (Jamaican fruit-eating bat), 107 nucleotides. Lineage: Eukaryota; Metazoa; Chordata; Mammalia; Chiroptera; Phyllostomidae. The record is from RefSeq and is a predicted model, not a curated record.
GUGCUCACUUUGGCAGCAUAUUUACUAAAACUGGAACAAUAUGGAGGAGAUUAGCAUGGCCCCUGCAUAAGGAUGACAUGCAAAUUCAUGAAGUGUUCAUAUUUUUG